AAAAUAACCAUAAAUUACUGAAGUUAGUCCUUGAUACUCUACUUACAUUCUGUGCUCUAAUAAGAGUGUAACACUGAGCUACAACCAAAGCAGGAAUCAUUACCUUUAGCCGACGAAGAGCUCUCAUUCAGAAUGUUUUCAGGAUGAAAAAGAGGUCAGAAGAGGAAAGCUUAUGUUGCUGAUCUUUGAAGUUACCUGAAAUAUUAAUGCAAAUAGGAGGUGUCAAGUAAAGCAGCAUUUGUGUUCCGAACUGCAGCUUCUGUAGGAAGUUUGGAGAUCUGUCCCAGCACCAGCUCAGUAGCCAUUGAGUGAGUGUGAUCUUUUGGUCCUUGUUUUUAGCAGCUACAAUGGACUGAGGCACUGCUUGUUGAAUCAGGCACACAUGGAGGAGCCGUGUCUCUGGUUCUCACAGUAUAAGUUACAUACGAACACAACAAAAUGCUAAGGAGAUCCUACUGAUGGGAUGUCAUGAAGGCGGACCCCUACAAGGAGGAUGGCAGCGCUGGCUGGAGCUAAUCCACAAUUAAGCACCCUGACAAAAGAGAGGUUUUUGAAUGUUUCUGCUGAGCACAGAGCUCCAGUAAAUGCAGCAGCUGUUGUCUUUACUUUUGUAGCCUUGUUAAAGAAAUACCAACUGUUUCUUUUGCUCUAGAUGGAAUACAUUAGUGUUUCAUUCAUCCUCACACCUGCCCUGGUAAUGGGCACUUCCAAGUUUCUUAUGAGAUGCCACAAAUCUGCAAGCUGGGGCUCACACAGCUAAAGAUUCCAGCGGCAAUUUGGAGCAAAAGCGUCCUCUUUACAUUUAGGAUGCGGGAACACUAAGAAGCAGCGAAGAAGAGCGAGCACGGACAGCCGAGCCUUCCCCCCGCUAAAUUCCUGUUCUCUCGCUCGGACAGCCCCCUGCCAAGCCCGCACCCCAUUGCCCCACCGUGCAUCCCCCUCCCCGCAGCCGGUCGGCGCCGACAGGGGCGGAGCGGCAUCCCGGUGCUGUGCACGGCGCUCCGCCCGCCGAGCGCUCUGCGGGAGGCAGGAGGCGGCAGCCCUCCCCGGUCCAUCCUGUCUCAACGUCCCGCCCCGUCCCGCCCAUCUGCAUGCAGGGCCCGCUGCUGCCCUCACCUCCAAACUUUCGAUGCAGCCCCAUCGCCUGGGUGGAGAGAGCCGCCGCGGGACA
This 1171-nucleotide long non-coding RNA is filed under the name Coturnix japonica (Japanese quail). Its description in RNAcentral is "lncRNA (ENSCJPG00005000483.1)". Lineage: Eukaryota; Metazoa; Chordata; Aves; Galliformes; Phasianidae. The record is from RNAcentral.